Molecule: long non-coding RNA, 2349 nt
Organism: Phragmites australis (common reed)
Lineage: Eukaryota; Viridiplantae; Streptophyta; Magnoliopsida; Poales; Poaceae
Exons: 4
Source: RefSeq, a predicted model, not a curated record
UCCUGGUCAUCCACGAUACCGUCACUCCCACAUCCUUGCUCGACACGGCACACACGGCAUCGAGCGCCUGCGAUAACCGACGUUAGGUUGUUUUGUUAACCAUCUCUGGUGAGGCUCUCAACUCUGACGUUACGCAUCUACCCUUGACUCCCAGCUCAGACGACGGGUUGUUGAGCUGCGGCCUCCCGGCCUUCCCACGAGCACAUGCAGACGAGCAGCAGAGUGCCAUUGAGGUCUGAAACUGACAUAGUAAAUGUUGUAGAACAAAGAAUAUGACACUCAAUGGAAGAAGGACACUUUGAAAAUCUAUCGGGGAAGGGCAAACCCAUAAACCUAAAUUCAAAUCCUAACGCUGAUCUUGCCAAAGAGACCCUUUGCAGGAUACUUUCAAAGAAUGGUUGCGCCCUUGAAGGGGUUGAGCUGAGUAAGAAAAUUUGUGGCAUGAUUGCGUGUUGGAGGUCAACAUUAAGGAAGGCUUGGGAAAACUGCUCUGAAGACGAUGGUUCUAACUGGAUCAAUGAUUGCAUGGUUCUCCAGGAAUAAAUUCGCCAAAUAAAUGACAAUGUUCUACCUGGCACCAUCUCCCAUAUGUAUCCUGAUUAGUAAAUAUAUCAAAAUGAACUAAUAUGGAGUUCCAUUUUGCUAGAUAUAUUGUAGGUUUUUCGAUACAAUCUGAAAGUGCCAUUUGGACGCCAAAUGUUUGCUCUAAGUUGGGACAAGGAGGUGGCUAAAUUGAAACUGAAGUAAGAACAAUGCACUACGCUUCUAGAACACAGUUUGAGAGGCUUGUCCUGGAUUUUGUAGGAUUGACCUGUAACUUAGCAUAUUGAGUAUUAAGAAAGUAUAAAUAGUAACACUUAGGCCCAUGAAGCAGUGAGAAUGUAUAUGUAUGUCACAUGCGCAACCUAAGUUGAUUUUCUUCAAUGGAGCUGAACACUGACUACUGAAAUUAUGUGCUAUGAUAUGUGAGUUGGGGUGAUACAAAUAGGCAUAGGCCAUUUCAACAACUGCAAUAGAGCUUGCAUUGUAUGCUUUCUCUGUCUAAGGAAGGCUACUAGAAUUGAAGUAGGAGUAGCAGUACUCUCGAAACACUAUCGUCAAUGCGGGUUAUCAUGUGCGCCAAAUGGUGUGCCAUAUUUCUACUGCAGAGUAUGCUAAUAUCUAUCUUCCAUUUGAGAGCCAAACACUUGUACUUGAACAUCAUAGCAAGAUUUGGAGAGUAGAUUGUAGUGUGAGAAACGAACAUAAAUACAAGUGGCUUUUGAAAGGAUGGAAGAUGUUUACAAAUGACAACAAUUUACAGCUCAGGGAUCUAUGCCUUUUUUAAGCUACUGCAGAAAAAAAUACACGUUCCAUGUUCUUAUCAUCUGUACCAGCUCCAUAAAUGGACACCCAUCAACUUCCACUCCCCGAUGAUUCGCUAAUGCUACUAAAGGGUUAGCUCAGAGCAGGCAACACGGGUCAACAGGCGUGGCAAAACUGCUCCGCUUUUCUAGUGAUUGUCCUAGACUUGGAAGUCUAAACUGAAUUCCUGUCACUGUUCUAAUUCAAGCAAGAACUGAAGAAAUAGAAGAGGCAGUACUAUUGUCUAGUCAAUGUUGCCUGCAUAGUAGCAGAGAUUUUGGACUGUGUCACUACCAGAUGACUUAACUAUAUAAGCUUAGCCUGAUCUUUCCUAGUCUGUGUCAACACCAGUGGCCUCAUGCAUGUUUGCUGUUUCUGUAGAAAUCCAUACAGAAGGAUAACUGACUCGAUCAGUCUCCUUGAAAAGGAUCUUUCCAAUUCAUUGUCAUGACAGACAAGUCACAGCUGAAUGUUAGCAGCAUUCCAUUCCAUGCGUGCAAAGUAUAUGUCUGCCUCUCCUGAUUUGAAUGGAGCACAGCUGAACUGUGGCGCUUUGAAGUUUGCACAUCGAUCAGAGCCCUGACUUGUCAUAGCUGAACUAAUCUGUUUCCUGAGAGUGACUUGUGCCGAAAAGUCGUCUCCAGAAUGCAUGCAGCAUGAGCAAAUAUAUCAUUCUAUGCGAGGCUAAGUAUCUGGAUGAUGGUUUUCUUUGUAAGGUUCAGUAUUUUCAAAGUUCCGCAGUUCAAUCACCAUCCAUCUUGAAAGAGGUGAAGCCCCCACGCCUUCAUCCUGACUAAGAUGAUUGAUGUGGCCAUCUCCACUGUUUUGUGAGAAAUCCAGCUGUCAGACAAACCAUAGAACCUUGGAACAAUUGCAGGCGGUCUUAUUUUCUGCAGUCAUGAGUUUUAAUUUUUUUUUUUUUUACUUUUUAGUGCACAUAAAAGGAUGCUAAAUGUUUAUUUGCACCACAUGUAAGUACGUAACACGUAAUAUUGCAUAAGGUCU